UCCGGUUUGACACCGGCAGUCUCUUUAGAGUGCCCGGCCUAACCGCUGGCAACUAAAGACAAGGGUUGCGCUCGUUGCGGGACUUAACCCAACAUCUUACGACACGAGCUGACGACAGCCAUGCAGCACCUAUCUCCACGUCCCCGAAGGGAAAGCCCCAUCUCUGGAGUUGUCGUGGGAUGUUAAGACCAGGUAAGGUUCUGCGCGUUGCUUCGAAUUAAACCACAUACUCCACCGCUCGUGCGGGCCCCCGUCACUUCCUUUGAGUUUUAGCCUUGCGACCGUACUCCCCAGGCGGGAUACUUAAUGCGUGAGCUUCGGUACCCAGGAGGUUAACAUCCCGGACACCUAGUAUCCAUAGUUUACGGCGUGGACUAC
Molecule: unclassified non-coding RNA, 378 nt
Filed under: uncultured Oligoflexaceae bacterium
Lineage: Bacteria; Pseudomonadati; Bdellovibrionota; Oligoflexia; Oligoflexales; Oligoflexaceae
Description: contains 16S-23S intergenic spacer region
Source: RNAcentral